UCCUCUUCCUUCAUCACCACCUCUUCCUUCCACCAACCCCCACCGCCGGCAUAUGGAAGCCACGGGCUCCCCUAUGCAUCCUCGCCGGAUUCCGACCCCCAGCACUCUCCGCUCAUCCGCGCCGCACGCCGCCACUUCCUCCCCCACAGGAACACCUCGAGGUUGAACCCGACGUGUCCUACCCGUUGCCCGAGGUCAAAGUUUGUUCAUCACCCGAGCUCAUUUAGAUACAAGAGGAUGCUGCCAUUUCUCAUGGAGAACGGUGGCCAAGCUCAGAGAAUUUUCUGAAGAUAAACAAACUGUCAUCGGAUGAGAUUUAAUCUGCCACCGUAGAAGUUUCUCUGGAUAGCAGUGCAGAAAGCCACACCAGAAUAAGAGUUAGCUUCAGUUGGGGACCCACUGCCGUGCGUACAUUGCUCCAAAGGUUUUGGGAGUAAAGGAGCUGCUCUAGAUUUGUGCACAUCAUUCUCAGCUACAAAGUCACAUAUACUACUGUGUGGAAAGAUCAAACGAAAAAAACAACAAACCAGAUUAUUGUCUAGUUUGUAGCUAUGUUUUCAUAGUACCUACAAAAUACAUUUCUUGUUUUGGUACAUGGACAUAUGUCCUGCUGUUUUAUGUGUGAAAUAAGACUCUCUAUGCGCUCUCCUA
Triticum dicoccoides is the source of this 651-nucleotide long non-coding RNA. RefSeq lists it as uncharacterized. The record is from RefSeq and is a predicted model, not a curated record. The transcript is spliced from 3 exons. Lineage: Eukaryota; Viridiplantae; Streptophyta; Magnoliopsida; Poales; Poaceae.